Molecule: ribosomal RNA, 463 nt
Filed under: uncultured bacterium
Lineage: Bacteria
Description: partial 16S ribosomal RNA
Rfam family: Bacterial small subunit ribosomal RNA
Source: RNAcentral
CGAACGCUGGCGGCGUGCUUCACACAUGCAAGUCGAACGGAAAGGCCCUGCUUGCAGGGUACUCGAGUGGCGAACGGGUGAGUAACACGUGGGUGAUCUGCCCUGCACUUCGGGAUAAGCCUGGGAAACUGGGUCUAAUACCGGAUAGGAGCCAUUUUUAGUGUGAUGGUUGGAAAGUUUUUUCGGUGUAGGAUGAGCUCGCGGCCUAUCAGCUUGUUGGUGGGGUAAUGGCCUACCAAGGCGGCGACGGGUAGCCGGCCUGAGAGGGUGGACGGCCACAUUGGGACUGAGAUACGGCCCAGACUCCUACGGGAGGCAGCAGUGGGGAAUAUUGCACAAUGGGCGCAAGCCUGAUGCAGCGACGCCGCGUGGGGGAUGACGGCCUUCGGGUUGUAAACUCCUUUCGCUAGGGACGAAGCUUUUUGUGACGGUACCUAGAUAAGAAGCACCGGCUAACUACGUG